CGUACGAGAAUUUUUAAUUCUAGUGGCGGACGGGUGAGUAACACGUGAGAAUCUGCCCUUUGGCCUGGAAUAACACGAGGAAACUUGUGCUAAUACCGGAUAAGUCUUUACGGAGAAAGCUUUAUGCACCAUUGGAUGAGCCCGCACUUGAUUAGUUAGUUGGUAGGGUAAUGGCCUACCAAGACUGUGAUCAAUAGCUGAUUUGAGAGGAUGAUCAGCCACAUUGGGACUGAGACACGGCCCAGACUCC
This 250-nucleotide ribosomal RNA is filed under the name uncultured bacterium. Its description in RNAcentral is "partial 16S ribosomal RNA". It matches the Rfam family "Bacterial small subunit ribosomal RNA", at positions 63 to 339 of the family's 1533-position model. The record is from RNAcentral.